RNAcentral lists this long non-coding RNA (7619 nucleotides) under Oryzias sinensis (Chinese medaka). Its description in RNAcentral is "lncRNA (ENSOSIG00000016553.1)". The record is from RNAcentral. Lineage: Eukaryota; Metazoa; Chordata; Actinopteri; Beloniformes; Adrianichthyidae.
AAGCAUUUGAUGUCAAAAACUGGAUAGUCUUAAAAUUCAACAGCUUGAAUCUGUCUGCUUUCUUCAGAUAUGGCCGAGUGCCCAAACAAGUCCAGCCCUUGAUGUACGCCGCCAAAGACGAUUUGCACUCGCCUGCAUCCUCUGACACGUCCAAAGUUCCCGCCAAGAGGGCAAAGUCGGUCGAACCUCCACCAGUGCAGAAGUCCAAAAAGCCCAAACUGGUCACCCUGAGGUCGUCCAGGUCAGAGUUUAGUGACGAGGAGAACGAAAACGAGUGGGAGGAGGAGGAGCACCACCUCACCCGGAGCUCCAGUCGAGACGGCGACACUCACGGCUUUGUUCAGAGCAGCCUGCACGCCUCCAACACGGAGAUUUCAGAGGUGGAUGACACCAUGGUGGAGGUAAGGAGACUAGCUUCCCCCAUGCAUACUGUCCAUAAACAUCCAUCUUCUUCAUCACAUUUUUAUGUUUUCCCACAUUGUUUUGUACCAUUUCAAACAAUGCACUCUCGACUCCUCCCAUCCCACGCUUAGCUUGAUAUCUUGGACAGUAUGCCCGAUGUGCUGGGCCUUUCCCAAGAUGCCCUGUGUCCUGACUCAACCUGUCAGCAGGCAGAUCAUGACACAGGCACUUCUGAGCCCAGUGAGCACCAGCUGGACCUGCUUGUUGAUGUUAUAGACUUCAUUUCCUCGGAACAAACUGAAGGUAUGCGACUUGUCCGUUUUGUUUGUUUUUGUCUUAGGUGCGUCUGGUACCUGAUGCCGUAAAUUAAAUUGGACUUUUCAUGUUUCUUUCAGUGUCUCAGGAUGAGAGCUACACUGAAGCAGCUCAAACCCUUUUGACCAUUGGUAACCGAGCUCAAAUUUCUCCGUCUGCACAGAGUGGAGAUACCUUAGAAGAAUGCACUGCAGGAACAUCAGUUGGUGUCAGUGAGUUCACAUAUGCACAAGAGGAGAUUUUGACAGUUUCACCCCAGAAAAGGGUCCCUUCUGGGAAAUCUGCAGAUCAGAAAGUGACAUCGCCUCCCACCGAAAAGCACCAGAGUGCUGAAGUGGAAAGCAAUAACUCGCUUCCCGUUGAGACAAGUGAUCAGAACGUUGAUCAAUUGGGUUUUAAAUCUAUAGAGAAGUCUUCACUUAUAAAGGCUGGUCCGUGUUCUAAGGUGAAGCCUAAACCAAACCUCGGUCACAGCUCAAGGACUGCAAAACCGGUAUCUCACACUGAGAUGUCGACAGAAGGGGGAGCUGGAAUAAGCUGCUCAGUUGCUCAAUGUGUUUCUCAAGAUGAUGAGACUUCACUAUCUGCUGAAGAAACAUCCCCUGGAAUAUCAGCUUCUGCUGCAGCAUUGUUUAAAGAUAACACUUCCUCUCAGCGCGCCUGCUUGGAUCAGGUUGAAACAGGUGCAGCAGAUCAGAAUCUCCUGAAAAGCCAGAGUCAGACUGUAAUUCAGUCCCAGUUGGGGCCUCCUGUAAAGUCCAAGGCUGGCUUAAAUAAACCAGUUGAAGCAGUGCCAGAGGUUAAAAAAGCGUCAAGCAACGAUCACAGCCCAGUUCCAGACAGAACCAGCAAACCUCAACCCUCGGUUGCAGACAACUCUUCUGUGAGUCACACAGGAGAAGGUGAUGUAAAAAGUCCUUCUCAGCCCAGAGGCAGACUGCCAAAAGUCAAACCCAAACCAAUCUUACUGCAGACGUCAAGAAUAGCUAGAUCCAAACGGCAAACCACUGAAGGGGUGGCAGAGAAAGAGUCAAUUGAAAGUCAGAAUACUUCAACUAAAAUGCCAGCAGAACUUCCAGAUGAACGGACUACAAGUGAGGAGACAACAAGUCCUAAAUGUCUAAAUCAAGCAGCACCUGUUCAGAGCGCUACAGAAACUCUGAUCUCUGCCAAAGUCGUGCCUGAGCUCUGUGUGGAGCAGACCAGCAAAGACUCUGAAGCCACUUCUGAAACUGUGUCAACUGAACAAACAGACCCAGAACUACCAGCUCCACAUGGGUCACAUUUGGGUUCAGAAAGAAAAGAAGAUUCUGCUGCAGUUGCUGAAGCAACCUCCAAUCAAGAUGAGAAAAAAACGGGAUCUUCUCAGUCAAGAAAGGGUCGACUACAAAAGGUUAAACCCAAACCAAACAUACCACAGUUGUUGAGAGGUGCAAGAUCCAAAGCUCAGAACACAGAAGAUGCCAUCCAAAAAAAUCUGGAGCUUCACAAAAACCCAUCCGUAGAGGCGGAAACACAAACAAAACUCACCCAAAAACUGUCUGCAAAUAAGGAGAUGAAGACAAAAGAUGGAGUUGAAGAUCAAGAAGAAUUGGGUGGAGCACCAUCAGGUCAAAGUCCUACAAAAGCCAAGAAUCUCUCCAUCGAGUCCAGUUUGGAGCAGGCAACUGGAGAUGCACUAUCAAUUCCUGAUUUAACCAAAGAAAGUGCAGCAUCCCAUGUUGAAGAUCCAGUUUUAAAGGCCUGUGAGGUCACAGAACCAGAACAAGGACUACAUUUGGAUUUUAUUGAAAGUGCAAAUUCAGCUUCUUUAAAUAAGUCUGUAGAAGAGUUGGCAGUCAUGCAAAAAGAGGAAAAAUCGUUGCCAACAGGUCAGACAAAGAGAGAUCGACUGUCAAAAAUCAAACCAAACCUUCAAACAUCAAGAGCUGCAAGAUCUACAUCUCAAACCACUGAAGAAGUUACGCAAAAAGACUUGUUUCCAGGUGAAGGACCUGAUUUCACGAAGGUGGAACCAGAACAGGAACUGUCUGUAAAUAAAGACACAUGGAGAGAGGCUGGGUUUGUAGACCCCAAAGUAUUGACAGACAAGAGCACCAAAGAAAGCCCAAAUCCCUGUGAAGAUCAGCCUGAGCCAUGUAAGGAGCAAACCAUAAGAGAUAGAGGAGCAACGUCUGAUUCAGCUCCAGAAAAUCUGUCAUACUGUUUUGGGCUACAGUCAAAUGUGGAGCCAGGAAAAAGUGGAAAGCCUUCAGCAGCAGCACAGGAACCAAGUGCAUCUGAUGAAAGGAAGACGGGUCAAAUCAAAAAACGUAAACCCAAACCAAACCUGGUACAGACAUCAAGAGCUCUGAGGUCCAAAUCCUCAAAAGAUUCACAGGAUAAGAACUCAAGUUCCAUAAUAGAACCCAAAGUCCAUGAAGAUGCCAUGUCAUUGGUGGAAGCAAACCUGUCUUUGGACAGUCAAUCUGAAACCGUUCCUACUUCAACAGUACAGCCUGUUAUGACUUUAGACUCAACUUCCACUCCAACAACAUACUCUUCUUCAAAUGACGAUCAAAGGGAAUUAACUAGACUGGAUUCGAUUGAUAUGAUUGCAGAAAUAUCAGAUCAGAGCACCACAGAGAACCAGAACUUCCCUGAAGUCCAGAUUGGUAACACCAGAGUUGAAGAAUCUCUGACGGAGUUCUCUGAUAAAAACCUAAAAUCUCAUGUUGAACCAACUGAUUCAAGAGUUCCAGAGGCACCAAAGCUGGGUUUGGAUCCAACUUCAUCUGUUGCAGGGCCUCCAGCCGUCAAACAAGGUUCUGAAGUUGCAUCUUCUUGUUUAUCAGUGAGGAACAGAUUAUCAAAAAUUAAACCCAAACCCAACUUGACAAAAACCUCAAGAGCUGCAAGAUUGAGACCUCAGAUCUCAAAAGAAUCAGCACAAAGUUCUGAAUCCUGCAAAAAGUUUGAACCAGAAAACAGCAACAUCUCCAAUUCUGUUUCAGGUUCAGAACAAUCCAAGAAUGCAUUCCCUGCAGAAGAGAAACAUCCUAGACGUGUAGAUCAGGCGGACACGGAUGCAGCCACAACAGGUUGCAGUGCUCCAAAGAAACAGAACAUCUGUCAAGUCCUGGUUGAAGAACAAACAUCUGCAGACCAGGCAUCGGCCUCUGAGAUGAGAGAGGAAGCAUCUCCGGUUGGGAAGUCACCAGAUGUUCGGCAUUUAUCUGCACAGGCGUGUUCAGAAGAAGCUGAAUCAAACGCUAAGUUUAGGAGAUUACAGAAAAUUCGCCCCAAACCGAAUUUACCAAAUAAAUCAAGAACGGCAAGAAUUGGAACACCAACCAUAAAUGACCCAAAGGAAAAAGAUUUGAGUGAAACUCAAUUUGAACAAGACUUGAUUGAACAAACAUCUGCAGGAAACCAGAACAUCACUGAAGUUCCCAAUGAAGAUCAGACCACUGGAAAAAUUGAGGAAACAUCCUCUUUUGUUGAGGUGAGAAAUUUAGCAUGUGAAGAAGCAGAAAAGGGAGAAGUGUCCUUUGUGGGGCAGGAGCUCCAUCUUGCUGCAUCAGGAACCAAGCAACAUGUUGGUGAAGAGGAUGAAGCUGCAUCUACGUCUCAAUCCAAGAGGAGGCGUUUUCAGAAACCUGAACCAAACCUCCCUGUGACAUCAAAAGGCGCUAAAUCUAAACCCGAAUUCCCUAAAGAGCCAGUCCAACUCACGCUCGCUAUGAAGCAACCACAGAUCUCCACCUCCAAAUCUAUGGAGCAACCUCAGAUCUCUAUUUCUAAAUCUGUGGAGCAACCUCAGAUCUCCACCUCCAAAUCUAUGGAUCAACCUCAGAUCUCCAUCUCCAAAUCUUCUGACCGCUCAACAUCAAAAGAAGAUGGUCAGUUUGUGUUGACUUCUCAUAAAAUCAAAAGUUCAGUUGCGGAACCGUUCGUCGAAUUGAGCCCAUCUCAUAAAUUUGUAGAGGAAUCAACCUCCGAGUGCAAAACAAAUGUUGAACAAGUCUCCAAUUCAGAGCAAAAUCUUCUUCAGAGAAGACCAAGGCUUUCCAGAGUCAGACCCAAACCUAAUCUAGAAGUAUCCAGUCGAGCUUUGCGGCGAAAAGUUCAGCCAGGUGACGGUUCCAAACCUUCAGGUGAAACUUCCACACCUCCAAGUGGCCUUAAGACGUCAGUGGAGAUGGAACCAGGUGGAGAAAAAAUGGACAGUGAAGGUCCAGCUGAGAGGGACUUGAUGGAUCCGUCUGCAGCUGUGGAUGCUCAGGUCUCAACACAAGUCGGUUCUACAUCAACCUCCAAAGCCAGCUCGGUCAGUGCAGAGGGACACUCCUCAACCCAAAGUAUUGAUUCUGCUGAAUCAGAAGCAGCUGACUCUUCUGAGACGUCAAAUAAAGCUCCUCAACCUCCCAACAUCACGUGCAGCAGUCUUGCACAGCGCAGACAGACGGAUGCAGAUUCUGACACUAGCUCGAGGACAGCUUCGUUGGAGCCUCGCCCUGGCAGUCGAUGGCCAGUAGGUGGAGACAUUGAUGAGACGAGAGACAAAUCGUCCUGUCUAGAUCCUGCUUCUCAAGAAGUGUCAUCUACGCAAAAUACGUCGGCUUUAAAUCCGGAGGGGAUCCACACUUAUCCGCUUCUGAUGGAGAGUAAGUCGUUCUUCUCCCACCGCGGCUUUGUUUGAAGUGUUUCCGUUAAACGCCUUCUCUUUUUAUUUUAAUUUUUUUUGUCAGUGCUGCCCGAGCAGGUGCCUUCAGAUCCGGAUGAACCGUUCUUCGUCCUUUCUCUGAUGGAGAUCCCGGGGGAGGCGGUAACCAGCGCGGCCGAGAAGCCGCCUCAUCACCCCGUCGCAGAUGCUGUCACGCUGCGGCCGUGGUCAGUGCUGCUGCUCCCUUCGGCCGAAUGGAGUUUGUUUCAUCUGCCGUCGGCGCUUACAACCUUCUCCCCUGUGUAGGGAUUCUGGAGAGAGUUCCACAGCAGCAGCAGGAGAGAAGUCCGUCUCUGGCGUCUCCACAAAAAGUGCAGAAACAAGUUCUGCAUCUGAAGGUGAAGCUGCAAAUCAAAUUAAACUUUAUUUAUAACACUUUGCAUACUCAUGUAGCUCAAAGUGCUACAUAUAUAUCUAUAUAUAUAUAGAUAUAUAUAUGACUUUCACACAUAAAAAAUUAUAAAACACAUACAAUACCCACAAAAGCCUGACCUUUUUUUUUUUAGAAAUACCUUUGUAAUCAUUGUUUGCAUGAGGACUAAACACAAGAUAAGCUGUCGGCUUAAACGUUUGUUAGAAGAGUUAUUGAGUCAGUAAGUCUGAACCGAUGAAUAUCUUGCCAAUUUUACCAAACUGGUUUUGCGAGCCUCCUGCUGAAACUAGAGCUGCGCUUUACGGCAGUAAAAGGUCUUGAUCCAUUCAUGACCUGCACACUUCUAGUAGGGCAUUUAUUUUAAAGAAUAAGCUUGAAAUAUACAGCGUCGAUCAAAGUAAUAUAAAGUAAAUAUCGGAUUCCGGGUCGAGUCUGAAACUACGUGAUCAGGCCAGAUUUACUGUGGCUGCAGAGUGAUCCUCCUAUCAAAUUUUUAUUUUUUUCUCUGUUUUUUAAAUAUUUUUAUGCCUCAUUGUUAAAUCUUACGGUUUUUAACGUUUUUAAUCCAGAAAAACCUGCAGAAAAUCUAGAAACCUGUGUUGCCAGAGAGACGGACGCAGCAGCUGAGAAUAAAGGUAUUCACAACAUUUCUCUUUCAAAUGCUUAUAAAAAUAAACAUUUAUUUUUCUGUAUUUAAUUUUUAUUGCCUCUUUUAACAGUUAUUUCAACAAGGAGAAGAAGAACUAAAGCUGAAGCUACCGUCAGCCAGAGAAGUGAGGCUGAAGCUGCUUCUGACCCACGAAGUUGUAAAAAAGGAAAAAGCUUGAAGAAAUCUGACAGCAGUUUGGGCUCCAAAAAAAGUAACACAAGCAGUCGUCAGACUAGGUAAGGUAUUUUUUUAUAUAUUAACAAUUUGUCAAUGAUAUUACCCUUUAAGAUCUAGUUUUUCUGUCCCUUACAGAAAAGCAAAAGACGUUUCCCAUGAAGUCAAAACGUCGCCCAGCGAUUCCCCUGCUGCGAAGGCGAAGACGUCUGCUAAGAAAGCAGCUUCUGCGUCACAUGAAGAUGCUGCACCAGCCAAAGUCCGUUCAGCUCCUGUGGGGUCGCAGUCCAGACCCACCGCCGACCAGACACCCGGCACCUCAACUCCCAGCUCCACCCUCCGCACCGCCCGGGUAAGACGGCAACUAGCGGCUGAAAACAUGUCAUUUCUUUUCUCUCAUUUGGGUUUGUGUUGAUCUUUGCAGGAAAGCUGUGCUGAGAUCAGCUCAGCAGAGGAGGAGCCCACCAGCGUGUCGCAGUACUUCAUUAGUGACAUUUUCACAGAAGUGGAUGAGUCAUGAACACCGGAUUCUCAUUUAAAGAAGCUCCUGUUUUUUAGUCUUAGUUGUGAUGUUUUUAUAGUCCAAUACACCCCCCCCCCAAACCCCAAUGGCACUUUGAAUUGGUUUUGGAGUUGAAAUCAGUGCUUUUUGAAAAUGCACUUAGAUGAUAAAUGCUAAAGUCUGAAAGCUAAAGCGGCAGCAGCUGAAUGUUUCAGUUCAGCCUCAAAUUUUACUCAACAACUGUGAAAAUGUAAAUAUGUUGUGUGUUUCAUUUUGUACUUGAUGCCACUUUCUAAAUUGUGUACAGCUUUAUACAACCCUCUUGUGUACAUAAUUUUAUUUAGUUAAGCAAACUCCAUCAAAGGUGAAUUUAUGGAUGUUUCCAUGAAUGGUUGACGAGUAACAGUGGUUUACAAUAAAUCAAGAUAAACACUUGAUUGGGUUUUUUAUUUGACUUUUUUAUGUGUUUCUUUAUAUUUAAUUUAUAACUGUAGAGACU